UUGCGGCGCCGACAAAGUGCACGCGUAUACUGCUCCUGUUUCCCUCGGUCAGUGCCGGCAGGUGGUGGGUGUGUACGGAACGUUUUCGGUCUCCCGGUCUUCUGGGCACGCAGGAGGAAAGAGGAAGAGGAAGGAUCGGCUCGAGUUCUCUCACUGCCGCGUGAGCACCAGUCAUGGGCGGAUAUGCAUGGGUUACACUGGCUACGAAUGAUGCCUAUUCUUUGGGAGCAUUGGUCUUGGCGCAUUCUUUACGUCGAGUCGGCACCAAGUACGAGCUGGCCUGUCUGGUCACUCCUGGAGUUACGGCGACCAUGAGGGAAAAAUUGGCUGCAGUAUUUUCCUUUGUACAGGAAGUCAAUGUUCUCGACUCGAAAGACGAAGCAAAUCUGGCCUUGUUGGCUAGACCAGAAUUGGGCAUCACUUUUACUAAGUUACAUUGUUGGAGGCUAACUCAAUACGAGAAGUGUGUAUUUGUUGAUGCAGAUGCGCUUGUCGUACGAAAUUGCGAUGAGUUAUUCGAACGGGAGGAACUAUCGGCAGCGCCCGAUGUCGGCUGGCCUGACUGCUUUAAUUCCGGAGUAUUUGUAUUCAGACCGUCUCAACAAACGUUCGCGUCAAUCACCGCAUUUGCCGCCGCCAAAGGCUCGUUCGACGGCGGUGAUCAAGGUCUAUUGAACAUGUACUUCAGCGACUGGGCCACCAAGGACAUCUCCAAGCAUCUACCGUUUAUCUACAACAUGUGUUCUACCGCGAUGUACUCUUAUCUCCCCGCAUUUAAACAAUUCGGCGACGACGUGAGAAUAAUACACUUUAUCGGCAUAACGAAACCGUGGUUACAGUAUUUCGAUACCCUGUCCGGUACCGUCCAGCCAGCAUCAGAAUCGACGCAUUUGCAACCGCUGUUGCAACUAUGGUGGAACAUAUUUUGCGAGCGAGUGCAUCCUCAACUGUCGCCUUCCAUGCAAAGCAGUGAGCAAUUACAUUCAAUUAUAAAUAAGACGAGGGCGGGUAUCGCUGGUGCCUUGGCUCAAAUCACGUUGGGCGCAGCGAGGAGUGCCGAGCAGGUAGCCCUGGAGGAGCACAUGAGGAAGCAAAGCUGGGAACAAGGACAGAUCGAUUACAUGGGCCGCGACAGCUUCGAUAAUAUAUGGAAGAAGAUCUGUGAAACGCUUUCCUUUGCGCCGCAACGGCAACCAACUCCACCUAAAGAAGAUACCGCUACUUUGGAAACUGCUGUAAAAGAAACUGUUGGUGCGCCUGUAGACGAAGUGAAUAAACUAGCUGGAACAGAGGACAGCAACUAACAGAUCCUGGCGCCAUAGCAUUGCUGCGUCUUGUAUUGUCGUUUUGCUUUAAUGGGUUGAAACGGAUAAGGAUCCAACGCAAUCUCUAGUAUGCGAAAUUCCUAAAGAGGAGAAGCUUUCAGCGACGCAAAGCCCUGAACAGAAAGCAUCUGAGUUAUUUUCCGAGAAGAACGUAACGAUAGAAGCUGCUGCA
Molecule: unclassified non-coding RNA, 1497 nt
Filed under: Monomorium pharaonis (pharaoh ant)
Lineage: Eukaryota; Metazoa; Arthropoda; Insecta; Hymenoptera; Formicidae
Description: titin, transcript variant X4
Source: RNAcentral